UACGUAGGGUGCAAGCGUUGUCCGGAAUUAUUGGGCGUAAAGAGCUCGUAGGCGGUUCGUCGCGUCGGCUGUGAAAUCCCGGAGCUCAACUCCGGGUCUGCAGUCGAUACGGGCGGACUUGAGUUCGGCAGGGGAGACUGGAAUUCCUGGUGUAGCGGUGAAAUGCGUAGAUAUCUGGAGGAACACCGGUGGCGAAGGCGGCGUUCUGGACUGCAACUGACACUGAGGAACGAAAGCCAGGGGAGCAAACGGG
This 253-nucleotide ribosomal RNA is filed under the name uncultured bacterium. RNAcentral's name for it is "partial 16S ribosomal RNA". It matches the Rfam family "Bacterial small subunit ribosomal RNA", at positions 524 to 776 of the family's 1533-position model. The record is from RNAcentral.